Molecule: transfer RNA, 70 nt
Filed under: Stegodyphus mimosarum
Lineage: Eukaryota; Metazoa; Arthropoda; Arachnida; Araneae; Eresidae
Rfam family: tRNA
About the family: Transfer RNA (tRNA) molecules are approximately 80 nucleotides in length. Their secondary structure includes four short double-helical elements and three loops (D, anti-codon, and T loops). Further hydrogen bonds mediate the characteristic L-shaped molecular structure. tRNAs have two regions of fundamental functional importance: the anti-codon, which is responsible for specific mRNA codon recognition, and the 3' end, to which the tRNAs corresponding amino acid is attached (by aminoacyl-tRNA synthetases). tRNAs cope with the degeneracy of the genetic code in two manners: having more than one tRNA (with a specific anti-codon) for a particular amino acid; and 'wobble' base-pairing, i.e. permitting non-standard base-pairing at the 3rd anti-codon position.
Source: Rfam by way of RNAcentral
GCCUUCGUGGUGAAAUGGUAGCACACUCGGCUCAUAUCGAGAAGUCCACGUUCAAGUCCCGGCGAGAGCA